GCAUCUAUGGCCGAGUGGUCUAAGGCGUUGGACUUAAGAUCCACUGUCCGUUUUAGGGCGCGUGGGUUCAAAUCCCACUGGAUGCA
This is a non-coding RNA of Seminavis robusta, 86 nucleotides long. Lineage: Eukaryota; Bacillariophyta; Bacillariophyceae; Naviculales; Naviculaceae. The record is from the annotation of a GenBank genome assembly.